Molecule: ribosomal RNA, 440 nt
Filed under: uncultured bacterium
Lineage: Bacteria
Description: partial 16S ribosomal RNA
Rfam family: Bacterial small subunit ribosomal RNA
Source: RNAcentral
CCUACGGGUGGCAGCAGUGGGGAAUAUUGCACAAUGGGGGAAACCCUGAUGCAGCGACGCCGCGUGAGGGAAGAAGUAUUUCGGGAUGUAAAGCCCUAUCAGCAGGGAAGAAAAUGACGGUACCUGAUUAAGAAGCCCCGGCUAACUACGUGCCAGCAGCCGCGGUAAGACGUAGGGGGCAAGCGUUAUCCGGAUUUACUGGGGGUAAAGGGAGAGUAGACGGCAGCACAAGUCUGGAGUGAAAUGCCGGGGCUUAACCCCGGAACUGCUGUGGAAACUGUGCAGCUAGAGUGCAGGAGAGGUAAGUGGAAUUCCUGGUGUAGCGGUGAAAUGCGUAGAUAUUAGGAGGAACACCAGUGGCGAAGGCGGCUUACUGGACUGUAACUGACGUUGAGGCUCGAAAGCGUGGGGAGCGAACAGGAUUAGAUACCCUUGUAGUC